This 141-nucleotide ribosomal RNA is filed under the name uncultured eukaryote. RNAcentral's name for it is "partial 18S ribosomal RNA". It matches the Rfam family "Eukaryotic small subunit ribosomal RNA", at positions 1299 to 1458 of the family's 1831-position model. The record is from RNAcentral.
UGGUGGUGUGAAUUGUCUGGUUAAUUCCGUUAACGAACGAGACCUCGACCUGCUAAAUAGAGCGCAUUUGUCUUCGGGCAAGUGUUGCUCUUCUUAGAGGGACUAUCGGUGUUUAGCCGAAGGAAGUUCGAGGCAAUAACA